UACUAUUAUAUAAAGGAGAAGUGAUGGAUAGAGAUGUAAUUUUACAUGGUAUACAACUUUCGAAGCAAUAUGUACAAGAUACUUCAAGCCAUUUGUGAGGGGUAUUUUAAGACACCUAGGGGUAAACUAGGGUUUUCACCCAUUGAAUUGAAUGGGAUUCGAUGCUGGCCUGCAAAUAUGAACCGUCUCACCUUCAUACCCACACACCGUUACAAAUCUCUCCUCAAAUUCUCUACGAAACACCUCAUGAAACCCUUCAUCAUCCAAACGCACAAGCGCAUCUUCAUAAUCAUCUUCUGCUUCCAAAUUGUGUUGGAUUCCUCCCAAAUCUUCUACCUAGGGUUCCGAUUGAGAAUUCAAGAGGCAUGUUUUUGGAUUUGAUUAUGUUUGGUAAUGAUGAUAAUCGAAUGAGACUGAUCUAUACCCGUGUUUCGAAGGUGUAAUCGAUGUUUAAAAAGACGGAUUGAAACAACCCCUCUUCAUCUCGCCAGAACCCUAAUCGAUUCGUCAACCACCACAUCUGCAGGAAUCAAGCAUAUUUCUAUAGUCAAUUGGAGCUUUAUAAGCAUGUGAUUAAGGAUUGCAAUAAGGCGCUUCAAAUUGAUUCUACUCUUCUUCAAGUUUAUACCCUAAAAAGGUUUUUUGUUCUUAUUUUGUUUUAAGUUGUUGAUUGAAUGAUUGAUUACCUUUGUUAAUUAACAUGGGCAAUUAGAUGUUUGCAAUGUUAACAAGAUACUGAUCUUAUUUGUUUUUACUGUGAUUAGUGUCCUCGAUUUCAGUUCUAUUAACUGGUCGAGAAAUAAGAAAUUAAUUUCUUUGAUCUUCUCAUGUUACUACCAAGUUUAAAGUCUAAACAAUGUCUAUGGUCGGCAAGCAUUGAUAGACGAUCUCAAGAACGAUGACAUCCAACUACAGUUGAAAUCAUAGUUAUUAAAGGCGCUGAGCGCACUUAAGGCGCAUAGGCCUCGCCUGGGGCCUAGGCGCAAAGCGCAAAUAAAGCGAGGGCCUGAGAAAAAUUAAGCGCAUAAUGAAAAAAAGUUAAACUAUAUUAUGUAUUAGAAAAAGAAUUUAAAUAAAAUAAACAAAAACUAUUAUAUAAAACUAUAUAUCAUCUAUUAAGAACCAAAAGUUCUAAAAAUAUUAGUGUAUUAGUGUAGAAAAGUAGUUUUCCUUGAAUAAAAUUAGAAAUUUGGCUAGAAUCUUGUCGGAAUUUAGAGAAUUUGGCCGGAAACUCUCCGGGAUCUAGGAAUCUCGCCGGAAUCUGCGCCUGAACCAUCACCUAGAGAAUUAAAGCGCAACUAACUCGCCUCGCCUGAAAAAUGGGCCUAGGCGCAAGAGGCGAUGGCUUUUAACAACUAUGGUUGAAAUCAAUUAAAAGACUAUCAAAAAUUGAUAGGUGAUGAUUGUUCAGGGACAUCAAUCGGCACGAGUAAUGGUUUUUUGGAAUUGAGCAUAGGUAUAAUUCCAUUAGAAAUUCAUUAAAUUUGUUCAUUCAUUAUCAUCUUGGUUAUUUCAUUUCUUUCAUAUUAGUUUCAAGAUCGAAUCUUUCAUAGUCUACUUGGUGUUUUCAUCACCACGGGAAAAGAUUACCAGUUAACGUUACUGAUAUAAACAAAAACAGAAUCAUGAAACUGAAAAAAGCUUACCUAAGUACUUGCCGGAACCCUAGCAUUGACCAGAAUCUGAUUUGUCACUUAAUCGAUUCACCAUCACUGCAGCGAAUUGGAUCUUAAUCUAUAUAUUAGACAGGUAUCGAGAACCUGUUGUUUCCGUCCUAUCACCGAUGCCGACAAUUGAAGCUGUUACCCAUGUAGUUAUAAGAUAAUUGAUUAUGAUUGUUAUGUUGUUAGUAUGACUGGCUGCAGAUACAGGUGAAUUGAUUUAGUUUUGAUCCGGCGUAAGACAUUGAAUAGGAGCAAACGUGCUAUUAUCUAACCCGUAUAAUACAAGUCAAUCAUCAGCUUCAAAAUGACAACUUACAUUAAACUCCGCCUCGGUAUUGCCCUUCAACUGAGGACAAGAGAUGAAGGCGCACCUGUCUGAUAACUCUGCGAUGCAGCGAUGCCAAUGACCCUUCUGUUCAAAAAUCAUAUGGGUUAAACAUUAUUCAGAACUUGGGGUGUUAAAUGGGGCAUGUUUCCGGAUUGGCUUCAGAACUAGGGGUGUUAAGUGUAAAUUGUUCGAUCUUUUUUACGAAAAUAUCCGGUUAUGCAGAUGGUUCUUCUGUUAUUUGGGUCUCUACAGAUCUUGCUGACUAUGACUGUAAAGCCGGCAACAAGCUACAAGAAAUUGUUUGAUCUUUUUUACGAAAAGGCUCGUGCAUGUGUUGAAGUCUACAAACGGUUGUCGAAAUCUGCGGGUGGCAACCCGGAUAUGAGCCUAGAUGAACUACUUGCUUCACUUGUUCGUUCAAUGAGUGGGAGUAAAAACUUCCCCAUGGUGUGUCAAUCCGGGACUUGAUCAAAGCAUUAAAGACAAAUAUGCCGCUAUCGAGAUUAUAGCCAAAAAGUGGACACUUUACCAAGGCUAUGGAGGUUGAAGCUAAAAAGAUGAGAAGGGAGGCAGCUGCAGUGGAGGAGGUAUCUGCUACGUGUGUCGACAAAGAACAUGCUUAUUGCAGAAAGUAUGAGUGAAAUCUGAUAUACAUGACGCAGGGUUUGGGGCCAUAAUUGAGGAAUUGUGGAAGGAACCGGCAUGCUUACCAAAAAUGGUAGUCAAACUGAUAGUAAAAAACAGUUUCAGCCUGGUCUUGAUAAAAUGACGAGUGGAGAAGAUACCCGAACAACUUUGAUGAUUAAAAACAUUCCUAACAAUUAAGACAAAGAUAUCAUUUUGAUUAUUAUUGGCAUUUACAGAUUGAUAGUGAUGUUCACGUUCUGGUGUUAACAAAAAAAUCUGUGGAGACGUUCAAACCA
This is a long non-coding RNA of Helianthus annuus (common sunflower), 2915 nucleotides long. RefSeq lists it as uncharacterized. NCBI's taxonomy places the organism in Eukaryota, Viridiplantae, Streptophyta, Magnoliopsida, Asterales, Asteraceae. The record is from RefSeq and is a predicted model, not a curated record. The transcript has 4 exons.